This 6449-nucleotide long non-coding RNA is filed under the name Hordeum vulgare. Its description in RNAcentral is "long non-coding RNA (HVUL_LNC007503)". The record is from RNAcentral. Lineage: Eukaryota; Viridiplantae; Streptophyta; Magnoliopsida; Poales; Poaceae.
CCACCUUGAAACCCUUGCCAGACGCCACCUGGUCGGCUCCCACCUCCUCCUUACGCCGCUGGGCCCGCGAGCCCACAACCAGCCCGCCCGGGUCCGAAGCAGCUGCAUCCCUAGUGCCCAGCCCUGCCUUCGUGAUCCCUUGCCCCUAGCGCGCGCUGCCGCCUGCACCUCGCCGCCUCCCCUGUGCCGGAUCCACCUGCGCCGCCGCCUUGUCUCCCCGCACCGCACCGCAUCUUGCCGCAGUUCUCGCGCGUCGUCGGUCCCCGUCGAACCGUGCCGCUGCAGCCUUCCUCGAUCUAGAUCGAGAUCUAGCGCCGCCUCGCGUGGACGUUGACUGAGCCGGCUCCCGUGGGCCACGCGCCUCUCGACCCGUUCCCCCAGCCGGCCUCCUCAGCACGCCAAGGCCCAGCUCCUCCUUCGGCAUGCCUCACCCUCCUCUCCAGGCCGGCCCAUGGCCACGAGGUGAGCGCCCCCUCUAUCCCUCACCCCGAGCAGCGUUUUAGUCAUUUUGCGCUACCAUGUUUCGGCCCAGGUUAGGAAUUCGGCCCGGUAGUUGUUUUCUUUAGGAUUUUGGAUUUAUUUAAUUUCAGGAAGUUAUAGAUAUUUCAAAGGCCCGUAGAUAAUUAUUCGUGCGUCGGAUCCGACAAAUGUUAUAUGUAACGUGUGUAGUUUUUUGCGUAGAGUAUUAUUUUGCAACUUGUAUGGAUAUUUGAAGUGGUUUGACCUGCCGUAUGCCUAGUUUUGCAUGCUGUCCUAUUAGGUUAAUAUUGUCGUAGCUAUUUUUGUGCAUGCCGGAUUGCUUAAACCCCGUAGAUAAAAUGUUCACGAUGUUCGUGACCCUUUGCCCUGUAUUUUAGAGUAGUUGCUUGCAUUUUUGCAUGUAGGAGCUGUCAAUAGUUUGCUAUGUCGUGUUUAGGACAUAUUCUCGCAUAUAUGUGUGGCGUUAGUUUUAUUUUUCAACCCCACAUAUUAUAUUUGUUUUCGGGGUAGAAAAAUCUAUAGAACUUAACUGGGCAAUUAGUUUUGUCUUGUAAGUAAGUUAGUGUGCAUGAUAUUUUGCCAUGUCGCCCUCUUGUCUAUUUUGUGUGAUUUAUUCCGUGCAUGAUAUGAAAUAGUUGUGAUCUAGAUAUAUGCCCUUGGAUAUGUAUGCUAGUCCCUGGUAAUUUUGGUUGCUUUAGAAAUCCAUUUUUAGGUGUUGUUUGCUUGUUGCCAAGAUGCUAGAAAAUAGUGCUGAUUUGGAGAUGCUGAAAUAUUUCUAAGUCUGAGAUUUGUUAUACUCUGCUGUUGUCUUGCCAUGACAUUUGCUAGUGAUCUACAGCUCCUUUGGGGUUGGGGCAAUGGUGUUAUUUGUAGUACUUAAGAUUCUCUAGAAUGCUGUAAAUUUUCAUGCCAUUCGGUGCCCCGUAGCAUAUAGUUUUACUUCUGUCAAUAUGCCUUCUGGUUGAAAAUUGCACUGUCAAAACUGUUAUUUUCUCUAAGUCUGAAACUGUGUGCGAGAUGCCAUUUUGUGAGUUCUUUUCCUAGUGUUCCAUGCUUCCAUUAUAGUCGUAUUUAGUAGGGUGAUAUUUUGCAUCUUGACCACUACUGCCUCAUGUCUUGUUUGAGCAUUUUAGAAUUAUGUAGCUUGUUGUUUUGGGGUGUAGAAAAUGCCAUGUUGCUGUUUUUGGCAGAUUGUAGCUAUUUCUUGUGUAGCUUGUAUUUCUUGAGCAGUUGCUCCGUUUGGAAGGUGCCAUAUAUGAAACUUGCUUAGAGUCUCGUGUAUCUUCAUAAUAUGUAGCUCCCUUCUUGGUUUGCAAUGUUUGUGGCUGUUAUUCGCAUACAUAUUGCAUUCAUGGCAUCAUAUCUUGCGGUGACCAUAUCUUUUGAACUGUAGCUCCGUUUGCAAUGAUCUGUAUGUGUAAAUUUAUUGAAACAAUGCGUAGAAUGACGUGAACUACUUUAUUUUUCUUUUUAACAAGUAUCAAAACAUGUUAGUUCAGAUCUGGACAGAAUUCAAAUUUAACGUGUGGGGUCAUUUAGGAGAUGCUAUACAUCGUUUCCGACCUCAUUUAAAAUGCCUAGAUAGGUAGUUGAAUUUUGCUUCACCUCUUGCCAUGUUUAACAACAUUAAUAUUGCCGUGUAAAUAAACGGGAGUGAACUAAACAGUCAAACGUGGAGUUUCGUCAAUAUGCAACUCGUUGCAUAUUGAACUUAACUUAAUGUGUACUGUUUGAUUGUUGUAAAUUGCCAUGCCAUACCUUGCAUAACUGAGGCCGAUCGUGCAUCAUAUGUGUUGUGCAUUAUGUCAUGCAUGUACCCUGGUGAAUAUCGUGUGUUGAUCUUGUUUCCGUUUGCUUCGUCUCGAUAGAGUUCCGCAGCGUGUCGGAAUGUGAGGAUCCGUUCGACUACUUCAGUUCGUCUGCUUCACCGAGUCAUUCUUCUUCCAAGUUAGAUCCCAGGCAAGAUGAAUAUUUCCCUAGAUACCAUUAUCAUCAUUGCCAUGCUAGUUGUCUUGUUUCUUUCGUUAUGUCUUGUUGCCUACCACAUGUUAAAUAUCAGCCUCCCAACAUUGCCAUGAUAACCUUCAACCUGAUCACAACCUAGCAAACCAAUGAUUGGCUAAGUUACCACUUGCUUAACCAUGUGUUAGCGUUGCUAGUUGCAGGUGCAGUUGCUUCCAUGUGAUAACAUGGGUUCCUUGUUAUAUCACCAUAUUAAUUUAUAUUUAAAUUUAAUGCACCUAUAUACUUGGUAAAAGGUGGAAGGCUCGGCCUUUCUAGCCUGGUGUUUUGUUCCACCUUUGCCGCCUUAGCUUCGGCUACCGGUGUUAUAUUCCAUAAUUGAGCACUCCUAACACGAUAGGGCUUGUUAUGGGGACCCCCUUCAUAAUUCGUUUUGGACUAAGACUGGUCUAGCAAGGCCCAACUUUGGUACUACAUUUUCCUAAUAACUUAAUAAAAUUGCAUAGGGACUUUCUGGACCCCGUGGAUAAUUAAUCAACCCCCGGGCCAGUGCUCCGCAUGAGUGUUGGUCCAAACUAGCAGACUACAGGGCCACCGCGGGGCAACCCGAGGUUUGGUUUUACGCCUAGUGUGACCCAUUCGCCGUGUCCUGAGAACGAGAUACACGGCUCCUAUAGGGGUCGUCGACACGUCGGGCGGCCUUGCUGGAUUAGUUUUACCUUUGAUGAAAUAUCUUGCGUAUCGGGAUUCCGGUGAUACUUUGGGUAAUCUCAGAGUUGAGGUUUUCCACUAAGGAGUCCGACGAGAUCGUGAGUUUCGUGAUCGAGGAUUUCUACGUGGCUUGUGGUAAUUUGUGAUGAACUAGUUGGAGCACUCCUGCGGGGUUAAAUCUUUCGGAAAGCCAUGCCCACGGUUAUGUGGCUACGUGGAAACUUUGUUUAACAUCCGGUUCUAGAUAACUUGAAGUAAGCUUAUUGAAAAUAUGCCAACUGAGUGCGUAACCGUGAUUGUCUCUUCCGUGAGCCCCUUCUCCGGUCGAGGACACGGUGGGGUUAUGUCUGACGUAAGUAGGUGUUCAGGAUCAUUCAUUUGAUCAUUAGUAGCUCACGUUCGUUGUGCGUAGAGCACCCCCUCUUAUUCUUGUAAUCGUAAGUUAGCCACCUUAAAUACAUGCUUAGUCGCUUGCUGCAGCCUCACCACUUAACCAUACCUCACCCAUUAAGCUUGACUAGUCUUGAUACCUUCGAAAAUGAGAUUGUUGAGUCCUCUGUGGCUCACAGAUUACUACAACACCAGUUGUAGGUACAUGUAAAGUGAUAUUAAGACGUGACCGCGAUGAUUGUUCAUUUGGACUUCUUCUUCUUCUUCAUCAUCGAUCCAGGAUGGGUUCCAAGCCGGCAGCCUGGGAUAGCAAGGAUGGACGUCGUUCUUUUAUCGUUUGUUUUCGUCCAUAGUCGGACCCUUCUCAUCUUCAUGAAGAUUAUGUAUUGUACUGAUGUGACUCUGAUGUAGCUUGUAGCGAGUGUAAGCCAAUUCCAUAUACACAUCUUUUCAGUACAUGUACUUGUAACGAUAUCAAUUCUUGAGAAACGACGAGAUGCGCUUCUAUCCGUGUCGAGGACCUCGUGCCAAAAUAAGAAUAGGGUCGCAUCUUGGGCAUUACAGUCUGGUACAUUCAUGAGAGGCAGUAAGGGCACACCAAACAUAACAAAACAAUUGAAGCGCUAAAUAAUCUAGAACCGAUCAAAUAAACUCUCGAAAAGAGAUGACCAUGGUGGAAGUGGAGACGCAAUCAACCCGAAAGUGCCGUGUAAGAGAGGUAGUGACCAUCCAAAAGUGUGGUAGAAGAGAGAGCCGUGACAUUCAACCUACGAGCCGUCGCAAUAGUUGAUGAUGCUUUCCCUCAGCCAUCCCAUUUCUGAGCAUGACCACCAGGAUAAGAGAAUGGAGCAAGAGCACCAUACUCAACAAGGAUUGAACGCAACAUCAUGGAGAUUUAUUCUACACCAGAGUCAUCACAGAAUACAAGUAUAGGCAUAGGGAACUUGGUGUGAACCAUGGGAGAAAAACGCAUACACAGAUAAGACCUCACUACGAAAGGAAAUAAAGUAUAUCUAGGUGUGUUGAGGGAAGUCAUCUAUAAAUAUAGUACUAGUGUUGACCUCCUUUUGAGGCAAAAGAAUAUGGACCCCACACAUCAAAGUGAACAAGGUUGAAAUGAUGUUGAGACAGUGUAUCGCUAUGAGCAUAAGCUAACUAUAGUUGAUUACCAAGCCGACAACCCAAACAGUUUAGAGACAUCGUCGGAGACUAAUGCAAGAAGACCACAUAAAACUAAGGAUGCGAGAUGAGAGCCACACAAGUGACCCAGGGUGACGAUGCCACUUCUGAGCAUAAUUGGUAGACAAGGUAACAAAGGUGGAGAGACUAGCGGUUGUAGCAACAGAGUCGCUUGAUCUAGCAACCUACGUGCCUGUGCGCUCUCCGUUACUCGCCGAUCCGGCUUGGUGUGCUUCUCCUGUUUGCAGGUUGUGUGCCACACACUUGAUUUAGCACCCCACAUUCUCCUACAGUGCGCCCUUGACCCUGGCUUUAGGUAGCAUCGUGUCCUUGGCCUGUAGUGCAUAAUCCAUGUAUGCACCAACUGUUCGAGCUCCUACUCACCAUUGGUGUUGCUCGAGCGUGGGUUCUGGUGUCGCCCAUAAAGGGAAUACGGGAUGUGGGAUUAAGACCGUUCACAUAGCAACCCACAACAAGGCAAUGGAUGCCCAUCCAACUGGGAGGGAGCGGAGGUGGACCCAAAAAGGUGGAUGUUGACUCCAUAGGAAUCUCAACAGUACGCUUGUCCAUAAGAGCAGCACGACCAAGAAGAUCCUUGAUAUACUUCUCUUAGCAAAUAAAGAAGCCAUCAAAGGUAGAAUCUGGGAAGUAGCAAUGAGGACCAAGGUCACACAUAAGAAAAUCACUGUGACGAGCCUUGACAAAGCCAAUGUACUUAAGAGUCGUGCGGGAUCAUGAGCACUCAUUUAAAAACGAGCCGCAUUAACCACAAAGACAACGCUCAAAAUAGUCAUGAGUGGUUUGCUUAAGAACAUAUAGAGAACGCCGAAGGCGACAAACCAUGCGAGCUGGAAACAAAUACCCAAGUGGUGGCUAGAUGUAGGCAUUGUUGACAUCAAGCUGAGAGAGAGAAAGAGAGCCUAUAUUGGCAAACAGAAGCACAUCGAAAAGUGUGCCAAAAGUGGUCAACUGGGCCAUAUAGGAGCAAAUUUCUCAUCGUAAUCAUGACUAUAUGUUCUCGGCACUAGAUGAUCUUUGUAAAGCUCUAGAGAAACACCAUAGUCUCACCAUUGUGGGCCUAGUUACCAGUGAUUGGACGAGCAAGAGGAGGAAGGGAAAUGAGAUUCCACUAGCCGAUGAGGGAAGAGCAUUUCAUUCCAUCACAUGCUGCCAUUCUGGAUGAAAAAAUGAAAUGAUAAGAAGUCUUCUUGCGAAGAUCACUGCAAUAACUAACCAUAGCAGUCAAUAGCAGAAGCGGGCGAGCUCGAAAGCCAUAAGAUGCUGAUCUGGAGCUAUGUGUUGCCAACAAAAGCAAAUGUUUCAUCAUAGUCAUGACUAUAUGUUCUCACCACUAGAUAAGCUUUGUAAAGCUCAAGAGAAACAUCAUAGACUCACCCUUGUGGGCCUUGUUAUAAGUGAUGAGAUGAGCAAGAGGAGGAACGGAAAUGAGAUUCCACUAGCCGACGAGGGAAAAUCAUUUGAUGCCAUCACAUGUUGCCAUUGUGGAUGAAAAAAGGUCAUGAUUUGAAGUAUUCUUGUGAAGAGCACUACAAUGACUAACCAAAGUAGUCAAUAGGCAGAAACGCACGAGCUCGAAAGCCAUAAGUAGGUUGAUCUAGAGCUAUGUGUUGCCAAUAGAGGAAGACAUAGUAGUCGAGAGGGAUGACUCAUUAGAAGAAUCCACAACACGCGAACAAAUGAUUGCAAUAAAGUCAAGGAGUACGAGC